UACGUAGGGGGCAAGCGUUGUCCGGAUUUAUUGGGCGUAAAGAGCGUGUAGGCGGUUUGGUAGGUCCGCUGUGAAAACUCGAGGCUCAACCUCGAGACGCCGGUGGAAACCAUCAGGCUAGAGUCCGGAAGAGGAGAGUGGAAUUCCUGGUGUAGCGGUGAAAUGCGCAGAUAUCAGGAGGAACACCGAUUGCGAAGGCAGCUCGCUGGGACGUAACUGACGCUGAGACGCGAAAGCGUGGGGAGCAAACAGG
This 253-nucleotide ribosomal RNA is filed under the name uncultured bacterium. RNAcentral's name for it is "partial 16S ribosomal RNA". It matches the Rfam family "Bacterial small subunit ribosomal RNA", at positions 524 to 776 of the family's 1533-position model. The record is from RNAcentral.